Molecule: long non-coding RNA, 357 nt
Filed under: Gallus gallus (chicken)
Lineage: Eukaryota; Metazoa; Chordata; Aves; Galliformes; Phasianidae
Source: RNAcentral
CUCUUCAACUGCCUGUUCUGCCACCUGAUCCGCCAUCUUAUCUCCAGUUUCCUGUACAGUGCUACCUUUCUGAUGUCCUUUACAGAGUAUAAUAGCCAUGCUCUUUGGUAAAGAGACAGACAUAUCACAUCUCAGAAAUGGCUUUACUUCAGUGGCCUUAAAUGGUCCCUCUGUGAUCAUUAUUUUCUUAUUGAAUCGCUGUCAGACACAGCUGGUGGAUUUUUGUACGUGCAGUUUGGAGUUCCUGGCUAAAAUGAACCACAUGAAUACAGAUUACGGAUAUUCUUAUCUCAGCACACUUUUGAGAUGGAGCAUUCAAAUUACAAGACCUUCAGUCUGCUGUUUUAAUCUGACCAG